RNAcentral lists this ribosomal RNA (263 nucleotides) under uncultured bacterium. Its description in RNAcentral is "partial small subunit ribosomal RNA". It matches the Rfam family "Bacterial small subunit ribosomal RNA", at positions 26 to 285 of the family's 1533-position model. The record is from RNAcentral.
AGAGCGAACGCUGGCGGCGUGCUUAACACAUGCAAGUCGAGUGCGCGCCUGUAGCAAUACAGGUGGCGCACGGCGCACGGGUGCGUAACACGUGGGCAAUCUGCCCUCGGAUGGGGGAUAACUCGCCGAAAGGCGAGCUAAUACCGCAUGACAUUCCUGGAACUCCGGUUCCGGGACUCAAAGGCCGCAAGGCCGUCUGAGGGGGAGCCCGCGCCCGAUUAGCUAGUUGGUGAGGUAACGGCUCACCAAGGCUUUGAUCGGUA